RNAcentral lists this ribosomal RNA (424 nucleotides) under uncultured bacterium. RNAcentral describes it as "bacterial SSU rRNA". It matches the Rfam family "Bacterial small subunit ribosomal RNA", at positions 1013 to 1439 of the family's 1533-position model. The record is from RNAcentral.
UGCUCGAAAGAGAGCCGUAACACAGGUGCUGCAUGGCUGUCGUCAGCUCGUGUCGUGAGAUGUUGGGUUAAGUCCCGCAACGAGCGCAACCCUUGUCAUUAGUUGCUACAUUCAGUUGGGCACUCUAAUGAGACUGCCGGUGACAAACCGGAGGAAGGUGGGGAUGACGUCAAGUCCUCAUGGCCCUUAUAGGUGGGGCUACACACGUCAUACAAUGGCUGGUACAGAGGGUUGCCAACCCGCGAGGGGGAGCCAAUCCCAUAAAGCCAGUCGUAGUCCGGAUCGCAGUCUGCAACUCGACUGCGUGAAGUCGGAAUCGCUAGUAAUCGCGGAUCAGAAUGUCGCGGUGAAUACGUUCCCGGGUCUUGUACACACCGCCCGUCACACCAUGGGAGCGGGUUCUGCCAGAAGUAGUUAGCCUAAC